GCCAGGCAUGGUGGCGCAUGCCUGUAAUCCCAGCUACUUGGGAGGCUGAGGCAGGAGAAUUGCUUGAACCCGGGAGGUGGACUUUGCAGUGAGCCAAGAUCGUACCACCGCACUCCAGCCUGGGCAACAGAGUGAGACUCUGUCUCAA
Molecule: small RNA, 148 nt
Filed under: Papio anubis (olive baboon)
Lineage: Eukaryota; Metazoa; Chordata; Mammalia; Primates; Cercopithecidae
Also listed under: 1 other name
Description: Metazoan signal recognition particle RNA (ENSPANG00000049672.1)
Source: Rfam by way of RNAcentral